RNAcentral lists this ribosomal RNA (301 nucleotides) under uncultured bacterium. RNAcentral's name for it is "partial 16S ribosomal RNA". It matches the Rfam family "Bacterial small subunit ribosomal RNA", at positions 509 to 807 of the family's 1533-position model. The record is from RNAcentral.
CAGUAGCCGCGGUAAUACGUAGGUGGCAAGCGUUGUCCGGAAUUAUUGGGCGUAAAGGGCUCGCAGGCGGUUUCUUAAGUCUGAUGUGGAAGCCCCCGGCUCAACCGGGGAGGGUCAUUGGAAACUGGGAAACUUGAGUGCAGAAGAGGAGAGUGGAAUUCCACGUGUAGCGGUGAAAUGCGUAGAGAUGUGGAGGAACACCAGUGGCGAAGGCGACUCUCUGGUCUGUAACUGACGCUGAGGAGCGAAAGCGUGGGGAGCGAACAGGAUUAGAUACCCCCGUAGUCCCUGUCUCUUAUAC